Passer domesticus (house sparrow) is the source of this 344-nucleotide long non-coding RNA. RefSeq lists it as uncharacterized. NCBI's taxonomy places the organism in Eukaryota, Metazoa, Chordata, Aves, Passeriformes, Passeridae. The transcript is spliced from 3 exons. The record is from RefSeq and is a predicted model, not a curated record.
ACAUGCUGGAGGAGACAGCAGGAAAAAGGAAGUAAACAAAUGUGUUUAUCCACAAACCCUCCUACCACGAGGAACUGGAAUCUCUGAUGGAAGGUUCAUCAGGGCUGGAACAAGCAGGGGAAGCAGAUUGAGAUGAGCAUUACAGAUCUGCCGUGCUCUGGUUUAUGGUUUGUUCCCAGCGAUACACAGGGGGAGGAAAAAAAAAGGAAAAAAAAUACAAGCGUUGAGUUUCAUCAGGAUAAAGAAAGAGCAGGUUCCAAGAGAAGAAAGAAGAGAUGAAAAAGAGAAGUUUGAUUAAAAUCCCCUCUUGUUCCAUGUGUUUGAUGUAAAUAUCUUCACACCUU